RNAcentral lists this ribosomal RNA (307 nucleotides) under uncultured eukaryote. RNAcentral's name for it is "partial 18S ribosomal RNA". It matches the Rfam family "Eukaryotic small subunit ribosomal RNA", at positions 1470 to 1796 of the family's 1831-position model. The record is from RNAcentral.
CCCUUAGACGUUCUGGGCCGCACGCGCGCUACACUGACACAGGCAACGAGCUUUCCUUUACCGAAAGGUAUGGGUAAUCUUUUGAAACUGUGUCGUACUGGGGAUAGAUCCUUGCAAUUUUUGAUCUUAAACGAGGAAUUCCUAGUAAGCGCGAGUCAUCAACUCGCGUUGAUUACGUCCCUGCCCUUUGUACACACCGCCCGUCGCUACUACCGAUUGAAUGGCUUAGUGAGGCCUCAGGAUCCGCGCUUAAUGUGUGGAGAAUUUGGACAAACUACGUCAUUUAGAGGAAGUAAAAGUCGUAACA